GAUGAACGCUGGCGGCGUGCCUAAUACAUGCAAGUCGAGCGAACGGACGAGAAGCUUGCUUCUCUGAUGUUAGCGGCGGACGGGUGAGUAACACGUGGAUAACCUACCUAUAAGACUGGGAUAACUUCGGGAAACCGGAGCUAAUACCGGAUAAUAUUUUGAACCGCAUGGUUCAAAAGUGAAAGACGGUCUUGCUGUCACUUAUAGAUGGAUCCGCGCUGCAUUAGCUAGUUGGUAAGGUAACGGCUUACCAAGGCAACGAUGCAUAGCUGACCUGAGAGGGUGAUCGGCCACACUGGAACUGAGACACGGUCCAGACUCCUACGGGAGGCAGCAGUAGGGAAUCUUCCGCAAUGGGCGAAAGCCUGAUGGAGCCACGCCGCGUGAGUGAUGAAGGUCUUCGGAUCGUAAAACUCUGUUAUUAGGGAAGAAAAUCUGUGUAAGUAACUGUGCACAUCUUGACGGUACCUAAUCAGAAAGCCACGGCUAACUACGUG
This 497-nucleotide ribosomal RNA is filed under the name uncultured bacterium. RNAcentral's name for it is "partial 16S ribosomal RNA". It matches the Rfam family "Bacterial small subunit ribosomal RNA", at positions 28 to 507 of the family's 1533-position model. The record is from RNAcentral.